UGUAAACUGUGUGUGUGUGUGUGCUGGAGAGUGAGGUGUAAACUGUGUGUGUGUGUGUGCUGGAGAGUGAGGUGUGAACUGUGUGUGUGUGCUGGAGAGUGAGGUGUAAACUGUGUGUGUGUGCUGGAGAGUGAGGUGUGAACUGUGUGUGUGUGUGUGUGUGCUGGAGAGUGAGGUGUAAACUGUGUGUGUGCUGGAGAGUGAGGUGUAAACUGUGUGUGUGUGCUGGAGAGUGAGGUGUAAACUGUGUGUGUGUGUGCUGGAGAGUGAGGUGUAAACUGUGUGUGUGUGUGUG
This is a long non-coding RNA of Ictalurus punctatus (channel catfish), 295 nucleotides long. NCBI's taxonomy places the organism in Eukaryota, Metazoa, Chordata, Actinopteri, Siluriformes, Ictaluridae. The record is from Ensembl.